RNAcentral lists this ribosomal RNA (397 nucleotides) under uncultured bacterium. Its description in RNAcentral is "partial 16S ribosomal RNA". It matches the Rfam family "Bacterial small subunit ribosomal RNA", at positions 355 to 762 of the family's 1533-position model. The record is from RNAcentral.
UGGGGAAUAUUGCACAGUGGGCGCAAGCCUGAUGCAGCAACGCCGCGUGAGGGAUGACGGCCUUCGGGUUGUAAACCUCUUUUAGUACGGGAAGAAGCGAAAGUGACGGUACCUGCAGAAAAAGCACCGGCUAACUACGUGCCAGCAGCCGCGGUAAUACGUAGGGUGCGAGCGUUGUCCGGAAUUAUUGGGCGUAAAGAGCUCGUAGGCGGUCUGUCGCGUCUGCUGUGAAAAUCCCGAGGGCUCAACCUCGGGCCUGCAGUGGGUACGGGCAGACUAGAGUGCGGUAGGGGAGAAUGGAAUUCCUGGUGUAGCCUGGAAUGCGCAGAUAUCAGGAGGAACACCGAUGGCGAAGGCAGUUCUCUGGGCCGUAACUGACGCUGAGGAGCGAAAGCGU